GAACGCACAUUGCGCCCGCCAGCAUUCUGGCGGGCAUGCCUGUCCGAGCGUCAUUUCAACCCUCAGGGUCCCCCCGCCUCGCGCGGUCGGAGCCUGAUGUUGGGGAUCGGCCCGCCCCGCGCGGCGCCGUCCCCCAAAUACAGUGGCGGUCCCGCCGCAGCCUCCCCUGCGCAGUAGUUAUCAACUCGCACUGGAGCGCGGCGCGGCCACGCCGUAAAACCCCCGACUUUCUGAACGUUGACCUCGGAUCAGGUAGGAAUACCCGCUGAACUUAAG
This 276-nucleotide unclassified non-coding RNA is filed under the name Striatibotrys eucylindrosporus. Its description in RNAcentral is "Striatibotrys eucylindrospora sequence contains 5.8S rRNA gene". The stretch from base 1 to 53 matches the Rfam family "5.8S ribosomal RNA", at positions 102 to 154 of the family's 154-position model. Lineage: Eukaryota; Fungi; Ascomycota; Sordariomycetes; Hypocreales; Stachybotryaceae. The record is from RNAcentral.